RNAcentral lists this ribosomal RNA (490 nucleotides) under uncultured bacterium. RNAcentral describes it as "partial 16S ribosomal RNA". It matches the Rfam family "Bacterial small subunit ribosomal RNA", at positions 30 to 507 of the family's 1533-position model. The record is from RNAcentral.
AUUGAACGCUGGCGGCAGGCCUAACACAUGCAAGUCGAACGGUAGCAGGAAGAAGCUUGCUUCUUCGCUGACGAGUGGCGGACGGGUGAGUAAUGUCUGGGCAACUGCCUGAUGGAGGGGGAUAACUACUGAAAACGGUAGCUAAUACCGCAUAACGUCGCAAGCCCAAAGAGGGGGACCUUCGGGCCUCUUGCCAUCGUAUGUGCCCAGAUGGGAUUAGCUUGUUGGUGGGGUAACGGCUCACCAAGGCGACGAUCCCUAGCUGGUCUGAGAGGAUGACCAGCCACACUGGAACUGAGACACGGUCCAGACUCCUACGGGAGGCAGCAGUGGGGAAUAUUGCACAAUGGGCGCAAGCCUGAUGCAGCCAUGCCGCGUGUAUGAAGAAGGCCUUCGGGUUGUAAAGUACUUUCAGCGGGGAGGAAGGGAGUAAAGUUAAUACCUUUGCUCAUUGACGUUACCCGCAGAAGAAGCACCGGCUAACUCCGUG